Molecule: transfer RNA, 65 nt
Filed under: Mystonectes coelamboides
Lineage: Eukaryota; Metazoa; Arthropoda; Insecta; Coleoptera; Dytiscidae
Description: tRNA-Asp
Source: RNAcentral
GAAGAAUUAGUUAAUCUAUAACAUUAGAAUGUCAAACUAAAAUUAUUAAACUUUAAUAUUCUUCA